CUUUUUGACUUAAAUAUAAAGUAUAACCUGCCCAUUGAUAUUUUUAAAAGGCUGCGGUAUAUUGACCGUACAAAGGUAGCAUAAUCAUUAGUUUUUUAAUUGAGAACUUGUAUGAAUGGUUGAAUGAGAAAUGAACUUUUUUAAUAAAAAAAUUGAAUUUUACAUUUUAAUUAAAAGGUUGAAAUGUAUUUAAAAGACGAGAAGACCCUAUAGAGUUUUAUAAUUUAUAUUUAAUAUUAAAAAAAAUUAAUAGAUAUUUUUAUUUAAAUAAUUAUUUUGUUGGGGUGAUGAUAAAAUUUAACUAACUUUUAUUUUUUUUUACAUUAAUAUAUGGGAAAUUGAUCCACUAUUAGUGAUUAAAAGAUUAAAUUACCUUAGGGAUAACAGCGUAAUUUUUUUUUUAAGUUCAUAUUAAUAAAAAAUUUUGCGACCUCGAUGUUGGAUUAAGAUUUAAUUUUAGGUGCAGAAGUUUAAAAUUUAAGUCUGUUCCACUUUUAAAUUCUU
Molecule: ribosomal RNA, 504 nt
Filed under: Pseudolycoriella tewaipounamu
Lineage: Eukaryota; Metazoa; Arthropoda; Insecta; Diptera; Sciaridae
Description: partial 16S ribosomal RNA
Source: RNAcentral